CAACCUGCCCAUCACUUGGGGAUAACCUUGCGAAAGUAAGACUAAUACCCAAUGACGUCUCUAGAAGACAUCUGAAAGGGAUUAAAGAUUUAUCGGUGAUGGAUGGGGAUGCGUCUGAUUAGCUUGUUGGCGGGGUAACGGCCCACCAAGGCGACGAUCAGUAGGGGUUCUGAGAGGAAGGUCCCCCACAUUGGAACUGAGACACGGUCCAAACUCCUACGGGAGGCAGCAGUGAGGAAUAUUGGUCAAUGGACGAGAGUCUGAACCAGCCAAGUAGCGUGCAGGAUGACGGCCCUAUGGGUUGUAAACUGCUUUUAUAAGGGAAUAAAGUGAGAGUCGUGACUCUUUUUGCAUGUACCUUAUGAAUAAGGACCGGCUAAUUCCGUGCCAGCAGCCGCGGUAAUACGGAAGGUCCGGGCGUUAUCCGGAUUUAUUGGGUUUAAAGGGAGCGUAGGCCGGAGAUUAAGCGUGUUGUGAAAUGUAGACGCUCAACGUCUGCACUGCAGCGCGAACUGGUUUCCUUGAGUACGCACAAAGUGGGCGGAAUUCGUGGUGUAGCGGUGAAAUGCUUAGAUAUCACGAAGAACUCCGAUUG
RNAcentral lists this ribosomal RNA (595 nucleotides) under uncultured Bacteroidota bacterium. RNAcentral describes it as "bacterial SSU rRNA". It matches the Rfam family "Bacterial small subunit ribosomal RNA", at positions 122 to 715 of the family's 1533-position model. The record is from RNAcentral. Lineage: Bacteria; Pseudomonadati; Bacteroidota.